GGCUGAUGUGGUAUUGAACAGUGUAAAAACAUUAUGAGAUUUGGGCCAAAACCCAUAUCAAAGAAUUGGUGAUAUUGGGUGAUAUGGUUUACUGUAGCGGCCAUAUCAACCCAAACCAAAACCAUAUCAACCCUCAUUUAACUAUAGCGGUGAUAUCAAGUAUAAAAAUUCGCAUAUCAGAACUGGCCCAUUUUUCAGCCUCACUCUCUCUCUCUUCGCGCAGCUCCUUGGAGGCGAUUUCAGAGGCGAUAACUUCAUACACAAACUCUUCCACCACCGAUCUGGCAUAUCUCCUCCACCAGCUACCUCCUUCCAUUUUUGGUAUUGCUGGCCUUUCUUUUAUCUCGUUCGCCAAACUCAACCUUCUCUCUACUUCUCUCUAUUGACAGAACUCAAGCCCUAGUUUUCUAUUCGAUCCCUACUUCGACGAUGGAAUUAUCAAUAUAUCCCAGCCUCUCUCCAUCUCAUCUCAUAGAUAGAUUACGGAAGAUGAUUCAGACCGAAUCUCUCGCUCCACCUUCACUCACAGUCACUUCAUGGUCGGAUCGAAGCCCUAACCUGUGAAAAUGUUUUCCCUCUUUCCGUCAAACCUCUUGCAGUUGGCCAUCGGAGCAAACCCUAAGCCCUAAAGAAGAAACCCGAAGUCUGGAAUCCUCCAUUAGAGACGCGAAGAUGUGUUCGGCGAUUUACAGACGACCGCUGCUGCUAGAGUUAGGCCAGAGGAGUUCAAUUUUUGAAGAGGAUGUGUACAAACACGUUAGGGAUUUCAAUUUUGUUGAUGUAUUUACAAUGACUUUGAUGUUUCAAGGUAAGCCUCUGUUUCUUUGUUUCACUCUCUCUCUCUCUCAAGGUAAGCCCUAUUUCUUUGUGUCACUCUCUCUCUCUCUCUCACACACACACACACGUGACUUCUGAAAAUCGAGUGUCUUGCAUGGAUUAAAAUAAAAAAAAUCUGGUUUUGGGUUGAAGUCUUACAUUCUAUUCGUAUGUUGUUGGCUUGUUUACUCUAAAUCAAUUUAUUUGUAUUUGGGUUGCUGUUAUUUGAAAUGCUUAGUUGUGUUCCAUCAUAUGUUUAUAGAUGGCUGAUUUUGUUGAAUUCUUUGCUACUUUGGAUACAUGUCAGUGUAGAAAAAUAAAAUAAAAUAGGUCACCUUUGAUUUAUUUUAGAUGUUCUGUGAAAUCCAACUGUUAUUGCUGGGAAAAACCACUCUUUAUAUAUGAGUAUCUAUAUAUAUUAAAAUUUUCUGUGUUCUUCAAGGGGGGUUCUAUGUUUUAGAAAAAUAUUGAGUUUGCAGAAAUUUUUGCCACGGAAAUUGGAAUUUUUUCUAACUUAACUUCUAGAGUUUCAAGAUUAUUGGGUCUAACUUUAUACAAUCCUGAAGGCUCAUUUCUGGAGUGGUCAAGUAUAUUUGAAUUUUGUUGAUGUAUUUACAAUGACUUUAUACAAUUGUUUAAUUUGCCAAAUAGCAAGAUACAUGGCUUUAUUUUUAAUUUCACAUUUGACUGAGAUACCUUUCAAAUACUCAUUCAUUGCCAUUCUGAAGAUUGAUUAUAUAUAUAUAUAUAUAUGUAUAUCAUGAAUUAUAUUUGAAUAGUACAUCAUUCAACCUAAUAAAUCAAAUUUUAUUUCAUAUGUUUCAACAAUUGGGCCACCACCAAUCUGGAAAUGUCCAUUUUUUAAGGGGAAACCAUGCCGGAUUUUCGAAAAAAAAAAAUGAAUUUAAACUUUGAUUCCAAAAAGGCAUGUGGUUGAUUUUUGAAACUUGAAAUGGAUUUUUGAAAGAGUUUUGAAUAGUGGAUUUGAAUUGAAAAGAAAGAAAAUGUUAAAUUAUUUUAAGAAUCCAAGUUGUUUUGACAUGCAUAGUUUUUGACUUUGAAAAAUAUUGAUUGAUCAAAUUUUGUUUAUUGUUUUAUUUCAUUGUCUUGAAUAUGAAAUGCAUGGAUUGUUGAAGAAGGCCUAUGAGCUAUCUGUGCUCUGUGAUGCUAAGUUGCUUUGAUUAUCUUCUCUCAAUAAGGGAGGGUCUAUGAGUUUUCCAGUACGAAAUAUAUUUAUCAUCAUCUUACCCAAUCAAUUUCAGAUAGCACCUAUUCAAUUAGUGUAUGUGUGUGUAAAUUGUGUAUAGUUUAUGUUCACUAUAACUAUUGUAAAUUGUGCAUAGUUUAUGUUCAGUGUGCUCCUACAAACUGCUCUUGGGUACUAAGAUAUAUGCAGUUUUUCCUUAUUGAGCAGCAUGGUUAAAACAUGAUCAUUACAAAAACAAUUCAUGAAGGACAUGGCACCAGUGGGAUUUAUAGGACGCAUUCUCCAGUUGCUACAACUCCAGGAAGCUAGUGAUCUCUCAGUUAAUCAAAUAGAGGCCUAUGCAAGUAUAAAGAAGUGUGUGUACAUUUUAUGGAAUGAAUUUUAGUGAUCUCCGGUUGUGUGUACUAUUUUUAAGGAAUUUCUAGCUCCCUAUAUGUGCAACUAUAUAUGUGAAUGGUGCAACAACAAUUUAUUAAGUUUGUGAUGAAUAAAAAAAACUUGUGGUUUGGUAUGUUA
This is a long non-coding RNA of Cornus florida, 2539 nucleotides long. RefSeq lists it as uncharacterized. The record is from RefSeq and is a predicted model, not a curated record. The transcript is spliced from 2 exons. NCBI's taxonomy places the organism in Eukaryota, Viridiplantae, Streptophyta, Magnoliopsida, Cornales, Cornaceae.